UACGUAGGGUCCGAGCGUUGUCCGGAAUUAUUGGGCGUAAAGGGCUCGUAGGCGGUUUGUCGCGUCGGGAGUGAAAACACGGGGCUUAACCCCGUGCCUGCUUCCGAUACGGGCAGACUAGAGGUAUGCAGGGGAGAACGGAAUUCCUGGUGUAGCGGUGAAAUGCGCAGAUAUCAGGAGGAACACCGAUGGCGAAGGCAGGUCUCUGGGCAUUAACUGACGCUGAGGAGCGAAAGCAUGGGGAGCGAACAGG
This 253-nucleotide ribosomal RNA is filed under the name uncultured bacterium. RNAcentral describes it as "partial 16S ribosomal RNA". It matches the Rfam family "Bacterial small subunit ribosomal RNA", at positions 524 to 776 of the family's 1533-position model. The record is from RNAcentral.